Molecule: long non-coding RNA, 2447 nt
Organism: Mustela lutreola (European mink)
Lineage: Eukaryota; Metazoa; Chordata; Mammalia; Carnivora; Mustelidae
Exons: 5
Source: RefSeq, a predicted model, not a curated record
GAUUUUUAAAUAUUCAACUAGAUUUGGAGUGUUAGGUGGGACUCUUGGUUCCAAGCAACAGAAACAACUCAAUGUACCUUAAGGGAAAGGGGUAACUCCGUGAGAGGAGGGUUUUACCUCAAAUGGAGCUUUUACUUUUUCAGAUGUCAGCUACCCCUAGGGCUGUAGGGAACCACUUGCUCAGUAGCUCCUAGAACUCUUACUAUUUUGUUUUUUUCCUUCCCAAGAGCUUCAUUCUCUCAGAACAACUCUCUCCACCAGCCAUACUCUGGCUCACACCAAGCUUUAACACACACAAAAGGAUCUGGAUUUUUCUCACGCAGCUGUGAUCUGAAAUAUCCCCAUUCAGUUGACUGAUGGGCCCGACGUGCGUCCCAGAUUUAUCAACUGAGCCAGGUGAGGGAGACACCGUGGUGGGUUCAAGUGAGAGGAAGUAUCCAUCGGCAACCAAAUGACUACACCGGGAGGGCAGAGCUGCCGAAGAACAUGGAGAUGCCCCCCUCUGAAACCGGAGUUGGGCAUUUCUGAGAAGAGCCGUGGCGUGGGGAGGGGCCUUCCCAACCGUAAGUCGUGUGCGAGUGCAGGGGGCAGACACAGCACUGUCGCCCGUCCUCUAUGACGUGUGUUUGCACGACUGCUUCCCAGAUUUCCCUGCCCCCCACCUCAGCCCCUCCCAACCCUCACCCCAAACGCUCACUGGCUUUCUUCCCCACGUGGUUACCACCAAGCCUCUUCAAAAUCAGCGACUCGGAUGGAAAUAGUAUCCUCACAAUGUUCUGGAAUUACUGAGCGUCACCGUGGGCACAGACCGUGCAGGCCAAAGGCGCCUUCUUCCCGGGGUCACCUGAAGUGAAGCGGGUGGAGGUGCUCUUUCCUCAUGAAUAAUCCCACCUGCAGUUCGCUCGCACAUUAUUUCACUUCCCUUUUCACAUCUGCCGCCUGGCUCAGCCCUCUGCCACCUGGUGCUGCCUGUUGCCCGCCCCCCCCCCCCCAUUCCACAAUGCCAUUGCCAUUCAGGCCGUUCUCUUCCCGCAGGGCAGCACGGGGGCCCCAGCAGGCCCAUCCCCGUGUCUACCCACUUGGAAACAGUCUUGGUUCCUACAGCGUCAGGCCCAGAAGGGCCUGCAGCAUCUGGUCCAAGUCCUUUCAUCCUAUGCGGGCAGAAAUGAGGCCAAAUGACCACAUCCGACUUUCUCAAGGUCACCCAGAGUAUUAGUGGCCAAGUAUAGCUAAAGUCUUGGUGUUUUCUAGUUCCUAACCCAGUGAUGCAUCCAAGAACUGGACAAAACAUCCCGCAGAAAAUAGAAACAGAGUUGGUACAGAAAGCCACUCAAGCAGCAUCUCAGGCUCUUAGACCAGAAUCCCCCACCGUCAUCCUGCUGUUUUUAUACUCUUUUAAAAUAAAUAGGUCCCCUUUCCAGUCACGUGCACUGCAGGACCUCUCGCCAAGACAGGGCAGACCCCCCUCUGCUUGCUCAGCAGAUAGUUAUCAAACCAGUAUCAUGCUCAAUGUGGAAUGCGAAAACAAAAAAGAGAAAACAAACCCCAACCAACCAACCAAACAAACAGAAAACCCAUUAAUUAUGGUCCUUACCAUCUGAAAGUUUUCAACUGGUUUGGGGAGAAAGGCCAAAAAUGCUUGAUCAGAUUUAGGAUACAAGGACUGUGUCGGAGAGCUGGACAUGAUGUCAUCAAACAAGAGAGACCAGAUUUCCCAAUACUGCCCUUAAUCUUUGCAUCUGACGAUCAUCUGAUAUGAAAGAAAAUGUAGUAGAAACUUCUCCAAGCUGCAUAAAGAUGCUCCAGAAUCUCUGGUUUACCGGGAACUUGCCUUGGGUCUCCUGAACCGAAAAGCACAGAUCUUGCCUUCCUCCUGGAAGUUACCUUGUCCUUUGGAGCCGUAGGCCUGCAGGAGGUGGCUUCCUCUGGCUGGUGAGAAGCUGGCUCCUUUGUGCAGAGAGAUCUUGCCCUUCCAAAACCAGGGGCCGGACAGUGAUCACAAGUAGGAAGAGAGAGAGAGAGGGAAGCAGGCUCCCUGCUGAGCAGAGAGCCUGGCACAGGGCUCGAUCCCAGGACCCUGAGAUCAUGACCUGGGCCGAAAGCAGAGGCUUAACCCACUGAGCCACCCAGGCGCCCCGCACCUAUUCAUUCUUGCAAGAGUGACUCUCUUGAAUACCAGCGAAGUUCUGGACUUCCUCCAAGUAUCAGAAGCCUGCUUUUUAAGGAAGGCAGAAAAAUGGAUGGAAGGAACCGCAUGCCCCAAUGGCAGAGGAAAUGCACCCGGGGGAAGCUCUGUCCUAGGGAUUGUAGCAGUGGAGGCCCAAUCCUUCCCGUGUAAUCCCAGGGCAUGGCUGGAGAUGCAGGAAUCCGAGCGGAGCACUGCACUUAUUCAAACUGACGGAAAAACAAUGCCAUCAGCAUGAAUCAAUAGUAAUGGUGCAUUUGGC